UACGGGGGGAGCAAGCGUUGUUCGGAUUUACUGGGCGUAAAGGGCGUGUAGGCGGCGCAACAAGUCACUUGUGAAAUCUCCGGGCUUAACUCGGAAAGGUCAACUGAUACUGUGCGACUAGAGUGCAGAAGGGGCAACUGGAAUUCUCGGUGUAGCGGUGAAAUGCGUAGAUAUCGAGAGGAACACCUGCGGCGAAGGCGGGUUGCUGGGCUGACACUGACGCUGAUGCGCGAAAGCCAGGGGAGCGAACGGG
RNAcentral lists this ribosomal RNA (253 nucleotides) under uncultured bacterium. Its description in RNAcentral is "partial 16S ribosomal RNA". It matches the Rfam family "Bacterial small subunit ribosomal RNA", at positions 524 to 776 of the family's 1533-position model. The record is from RNAcentral.